RNAcentral lists this ribosomal RNA (460 nucleotides) under uncultured bacterium. RNAcentral's name for it is "partial 16S ribosomal RNA". It matches the Rfam family "Bacterial small subunit ribosomal RNA", at positions 338 to 795 of the family's 1533-position model. The record is from RNAcentral.
CCUACGGGAGGCUGCAGUGAGGAAUAUUGGUCAAUGGGCUUACGCCUGAACCAGCCAAGUCGCGUGAGGGAAGACUGCCCUAUGGGUUGUAAACCUCUUUUGUCAGGGAGCAACGCCGGCUACGUGUAGCCGGACUGAGAGUACCUGAAGAAAAAGCAUCGGCUAACUCCGUGACAGCAGCCGCGGUAAUACGGAGGAUGCGAGCGUUAUCCGGCUUUAUUGGGUUUAAAGGGUGCGUAGGCGGAAUGCCAAGUCAGCGGUAAAAUCGCGGGGCUCAACCUCGCUCCGCCGUUGAAACUGGCGUUCUUGAGUGGGCGAGAAGUAUGCGGAAUGCGUGGGGUAGCGGUGAAAUGCAUAGAUAUCACGCAGAACUCCGAUUGCGAAGGCAGCAUACCGGCGCCCAACUGACGCUGAAGCACGAAAGCGUGGGUAUCGAACAGGAUUAGAUACCCGGGUAGUC